CGGAAUACAAUACACGGAUGGAUGGGCAAACUUCAAUCUUCUUGUGGUUUAGGUUAAGUUUAUGUCUUCUUGCUUUUAGAUAGCCAAAAAGUAUAAAAUGUAUGCACAUUUAGCACUGUUUAGCUUUUAACUCCAGUAAAUAGCAGGCCUUAAAUUGUUUGAAGUCUCAAGCAAUCUUAAAUCUUAGCCAACAUUAUGCUUUCACAGUUUAAAACCAUGCAAUUGUAAAUGUACCCAAUAAUAGGUCUACCCAAUUAUACAGGCUGGCUGAGUUUGUACUGAAAUUUUACUAGGCCAAGGUUGAAAAGGAAGCUCAGGUGUUGGAAAUAUGGCUGUAGGUGUUCUGGUGAUGUGUAACAGAUUACUCUGCAGAUUCAACUGGAUCCCUAAAAGCUUCCCUCACAGCACACUUACUCACUCUAUAAGGCAAUUUCAUAGAUCUCCAAUUGUGAAUAGCAGACUUGAAGACUUUGGAAAACUGAUAGACCAAGGGAAGAAAGGUAUAUCGAAGCUGAAAUCGAAAGAUAAUGUUCCACCUGACUAUCAUUUGAUUUACAAAGCAACGUGGGAGUUAACGUUCAGAAUUGGGUACCCAGUGCUUAUAUCCAUGGGUGCUGGCUUGUUGGGACUGGUUGUUUACAGACAUUGCAAUAAAGACGAAUUAGAAAUGGGAAGGCCUAUAGGUAAGGGUAAUAUUAAAUUCAUGUAUCCCGAACAAGAACUUUGGGUCUUCUCCUUAGCACUCCUAUCAUUAGUGGUUGCUGGCUCUUCACUGAUGUUAAAAUAUCCCUUCAGAAUUUACAAGCAUGCAUCAAAAAAAGAAUACAUAGGUGUUUAUUUAAAUCCUUUCCUCCCAAUUUUGAGACAAGUACAUUUCACAAGUGCUAACCCGACCAAGUUUAGAAACCCGUUCUAUGUGAUGGUGCAAGACAGUCAUUAUGUUCUAAGUGGUAACAGGAAAACAUUUUUCUUUAGUUACUUUUUUCGUGUUCCAAAAGAUUUAACAGACAUGUUUCAUGAAUCCAAACCCACUAAUAAGGAUUAGUGCUUUGUUGUACCUUUCACUGAUUAAUUGUAAAUAAAUAUCAUUUUAGUGUG
Molecule: long non-coding RNA, 1098 nt
Organism: Macrosteles quadrilineatus (aster leafhopper)
Lineage: Eukaryota; Metazoa; Arthropoda; Insecta; Hemiptera; Cicadellidae
Exons: 2
Source: RefSeq, a predicted model, not a curated record